This 253-nucleotide ribosomal RNA is filed under the name uncultured bacterium. RNAcentral's name for it is "partial 16S ribosomal RNA". It matches the Rfam family "Bacterial small subunit ribosomal RNA", at positions 524 to 776 of the family's 1533-position model. The record is from RNAcentral.
UACGUAGGGUGCGAGCGUUAAUCGGAAUUACUGGGCGUAAAGCGUGCGCAGGCGGUUUUGUAAGCCAGAUGUGAAAUCCCCGGGCUCAACCUGGGAAUGCCAUUCGAGACUGCAUAGCUAGGGUGCGGAAGAGGGAAGCGGAAUUUCCGGUGUAGCGGUGAAAUGCGUAGAUAUCGGAAGGAACACCAGUGGCGAAAGCGGCUUCCUGGUCCAGCACCGACGUUCAGGCACGAAAGCGUGGGGAGCAAACAGG